CUGGCGGCAGGCCUAACACAUGCAAGUCGAGCGCGCCUUCGGGUGAGCGGCGGACGGGUUAGUAACGCGUGGGAACGUGCCCUUCUCUACGGAAUAGCCUCUGGAAACGGAGAGUAAUACCGUAUACGCCCUUUGGGGGAAAGAUUUAUCGGAGAAGGAUCGGCCCGCGUUAGAUUAGGUAGUUGGUGGGGUAACGGCCUACCAAGCCUACGAUCUAUAGCUGGUUUUAGAGGAUGAUCAGCAACACUGGGACUGAGACACGGCCCAGACUCCUACGGGAGGCAGCAGUGGGGAAUCUUAGACAAUGGGGGCAACCCUGAUCUAGCCAUGCCGCGUGAGUGAUGAAGGCCUUAGGGUCGUAAAGCUCUUUCGCCUGUGAUGAUAAUGACAGUAGCAGGUAAAGA
RNAcentral lists this ribosomal RNA (404 nucleotides) under uncultured bacterium. RNAcentral describes it as "bacterial SSU rRNA". It matches the Rfam family "Bacterial small subunit ribosomal RNA", at positions 36 to 488 of the family's 1533-position model. The record is from RNAcentral.